This 384-nucleotide ribosomal RNA is filed under the name Bacillus toyonensis. RNAcentral describes it as "bacterial SSU rRNA". It matches the Rfam family "Bacterial small subunit ribosomal RNA", at positions 388 to 764 of the family's 1533-position model. The record is from RNAcentral. Lineage: Bacteria; Bacillati; Bacillota; Bacilli; Caryophanales; Bacillaceae.
GGAGCACGCCGCGUGAGUGAUGAAGGCUUUCGGGUCGUAAAACUCUGUUGUUAGGGAAGAACAAGUGCUAGUUGAAUAAGCUGGCACCUUGACGGUACCUAACCAGAAAGCCACGGCUAACUACGUGCCAGCAGCCGCGGUAAUACGUAGGUGGCAAGCGUUAUCCGGAAUUAUUGGGCGUAAAGCGCGCGCAGGUGGUUUCUUAAGUCUGAUGUGAAAGCCCACGGCUCAACCGUGGAGGGUCAUUGGAAACUGGGAGACUUGAGUGCAGAAGAGGAAAGUGGAAUUCCAUGUGUAGCGGUGAAAUGCGUAGAGAUAUGGAGGAACACCAGUGGCGAAGGCGACUUUCUGGUCUGUAACUGACACUGAGGCGCGAAAGCGUGG